Molecule: ribosomal RNA, 429 nt
Filed under: Triticum aestivum (bread wheat)
Lineage: Eukaryota; Viridiplantae; Streptophyta; Magnoliopsida; Poales; Poaceae
Description: partial small subunit ribosomal RNA
Source: RNAcentral
AUGCUAAAAAUAGACCUAGCUAAAGCUCUUGACCGUUUAGAAUGGAACUUCAUUGUCUCGGCUCUUUCUCGUAAAGGGCUGCAUGGUCAUUUUAUCAAUCUUGUGCAUGCUUGCAUUUCUUCGCCUACUUUCUCUGUUCUCAUUAAUGGUCAGCCGUCUCCCAAAUUUAAGUCUCACAGAGGUAUCAGACAGGGUUGUCCCAUGUCUCCUUACCUUUUUGUUCUUGCCAUCAAUGAGCUUUCUAUCAUGCUUAAUGAAGCUGCUCAGGCCAAUCAUUUGCAAGGCAUUUCUCUAGGUCCAAACUGCCCUUCUAUUCAUUCUCUCCUUUUCGCAGAUGACCUUUUGGUAUGUGGACAGGCUACUGCGCAGGAGGCUCAGACUAUGUCAGAUUUGAUUCAGCACUUUUGUUCCUUCUGGUCAAACUCCUAA